Molecule: ribosomal RNA, 481 nt
Filed under: uncultured bacterium
Lineage: Bacteria
Description: partial 16S ribosomal RNA
Rfam family: Bacterial small subunit ribosomal RNA
Source: RNAcentral
GAUGAACGCUGGCGGCGUGCCUAAUACAUGCAAGUCGAACGAUGAAGGAGAGCUUGCUCUCCGGAUUAGUGGCGAACGGGUGAGUAACACGUGACUAACCUGCCCCUUUCUCUGGGAUAACGCUCCGAAAGGAGUGCUAAUACCGGAUACGAACUCUGAACACAUGUUCGGAGUUGGAAAGUUUUUCGGAAAGGGAUGGAGUCGCGGCCUAUCAGCUUGUUGGUGAGGUAACGGCUCACCAAGGCGACGACGGGUAGCCGGCCUGAGAGGGCGACCGGCCACACUGGGACUGAGACACGGCCCAGACUCCUACGGGAGGCAGCAGUGGGGAAUAUUGCACAAUGGGCGCAAGCCUGAUGCAGCAACGCCGCGUGAGGGAUGACGGCCUUCGGGUUGUAAACCUCUUUUAGCAGGGAAGAAGCGAAAGUGACGGUACCUGCAGAAAAAGCACCGGCUAACUACGUGCCAGCCGCCGCAGUAA